This 618-nucleotide small RNA is filed under the name Pongo abelii (Sumatran orangutan). Its description in RNAcentral is "retained intron". The record is from RNAcentral. Lineage: Eukaryota; Metazoa; Chordata; Mammalia; Primates; Hominidae.
UUGCCGGGAAGGGGAGAAAGAAAGGCGGAAGGGGUCGUUAAUAGCUGAGGCGAGGUGCGGGGUCGUGGAGGGGACUUAGGAAUUGACCAGCGGGAGUUUCCAGGUGUCUAGGAAAAUGCCAGAAGAACUCACCAGGUGCUGGGAAGCAUCCCUUUUCUGGAAAGUCCUUUUACUUGGAUCUACCUGCUGGCAAGAAUCUCCAGUUUUUGACAGGGGCCAUUCAGCAACUGGGUGGGGUAAUUGAGGGUUUUCUGAGCAAAGAAGUAAGUUACAUCGUGUCCAGCCGCAGAGAAGUAAAGGCAGAGAGCAGUGGGACAAGACACAGAGGCUGCCCUAGCCCCAGUGAGGUCAGAGUGGAAACAUCGGCCAUGGUUGAUCCAAAAGGCAGCCACCCCAGGCCUUCACAGAAACCCAUUGACUCGGUGCCUCUAAGCAGAGGGAAGGAGCUGCUGCAGAAGGCCAUCAGAAACCAGGUGAGCUGGGGCAAGAUGGCACAGAGCGGGUGGUCUCCAGCACAGGGAGGGAUUUCACCCUUCUUCCCAGGUUCUUCUGAAGCACCCACACAAAAUGCACACUCUGCGAUGUGUAGUAUUGUCAUUAUUUCCUUCUUCUACAUCA